Molecule: long non-coding RNA, 2284 nt
Organism: Dromaius novaehollandiae (emu)
Lineage: Eukaryota; Metazoa; Chordata; Aves; Casuariiformes; Dromaiidae
Source: Ensembl
CUCGCGGUUCGUGCGGCCGCGCCAUCGUGGGAGCCCGUGCGCGGCGCUGGAGGCGAGUGGCGCGGCGGGGGGCGGCCUCGGCGGGCGGUGUCCCGGCGGGCAGGUGCUUUGGCUCCCCCGGCCCGCGAGGGCAUGAGCUUAACGUUACCCCCCCCCAACCCAAGCUUAGGUUGGUCAUGCGGUGUGUGCGUUACCCUCGUUAAGUUUUUUUUUUCUCAGUGUAAAAUGGCUUUGCUGGGAAAUGUGUAAAUUUGGCUGAUACUUUUUCCCCUCAGUUCUUCCUCGUCCUYCCAGGUUUUAGCCUUGGUGUUUAAAGUAACCCGUUCCCUACUGCUGCUUCAAUUUAAUGGUGAUAGUGACUGYAUAUCACUCUUCCUGGCUGUGGUCACAGUACCAUUAAAUGCUAUAUCCACUUACAGGGAAAAAAAUCAUAACCCCUGGCAGCUUCUUACACUUUGCUUAUGUGUUGCACCUGGUUCUUGUUGUAUUUUUAUAUUUGCAUAUGUUGUAAUUUUCCUACUCUCCCUGUGCAGUGGGUUGAUUGCAGUGCUGUAGCAAAAGUGUUACCUCCCUUCUCUGCUCUGGUUUCUGCUGAACUGUGGAAGGACACRGUAACAGAAAUGAACUUACGAGCUUACGUGGAGUACAUUGAAGAACUGGGAGGAGAAUGUAAAUCAGAGGUUGUAUUGGAAGUUCUCGGAGUUUGAUUCAAAUCUUGAAAUAGUCGCAAUGUAAAGGACCUGAGAGGUACUUGGAACUGGCUGUGGGAGGCUCUCUCCUGUCUCAGACCCUGCAGUGACCUUACUGUGCAAAAUGCAGUCUUGAUCUUGCCCUUCUCAUGGUAACAUCCGAGUGAGAAAGGAAUAACUGAGAAUGCAGGUCCCCUCCCAGCUCCAYGGGGCAAGCAAGCAGGCAGGCCAUUUUCACAUGCUACCCCAUGCCGCUGCUCUCCUCACCUCACUGAAAACUCUGCGUUUGCUCUUUGCUUAGAUCUAUCUCUGUCUGCCAUUUCCGGGAUUCUGUUGCAUAGUGUUGGAAACACCAUGUGUAGCACCCUGAAACUUUCACAGUUGUCUGUGAAGGACAGUGAAAAGGGCCUUUUGUUUGCAAAAGGGAUCUAGAACAAGGAAUUUAAAUAUUUGGUUAAAUAGCACUUCUAGCAUCUUUAGGAUCAGAUUGCAGCUGGCAAAUGUUCUAGACUUGCUAACAGAAUAUUGCGUCUGCAUUUCACUGCUUAGAAAUGGGAAGAUUUGUGUUCUGAAGGGAGUUGGGAGGAUUCACUUCCUCGCUGGCUGAGUGCCACAGCGCAGUAGCUACUACAGGAGUGCCCUGGAUCAGCACAGUGUGAGAUCGUGCCUGGGCUCAUCUAGAAGUGACUUGUCCAAAAGGUAGGACCAAGGUCAGGCUAGUUUGGGCUGCCCUAAUGAGAACCCAGGAACUGACUCCCUGCAGAUGCAUCAUCGGGGACCUCCUGUCUAUAAUCGGUGUGAUCCUUUUCCUUUGGUAAUGGGGUGAAAUAACAGCCUCAUGUUUGCUGUAAAAAGCUGAUUCCUGUUCUAGGCCAUCAGAGCUGAGAAGCAUAAAUUUAUCUCCCUAGAGAAAGAGAUACAAGAUAACUAUGAGUAAUUCUGCAGCACUUUUUUUUUUUUUUUUUUUUUUUUUUUUUUUUAUGAAUGAAGGCUAGAUGGGCAAGCUGAAGCAGGUAAUUCUAUUUUCAGCUUAGUUGGACUUUCUGAUCCAAUUGACUUUCUCCUAUAAGUAGUGCAAAAAAAGGGGGGGAAAUGUGACCACUACCACACAAUGUUUCCUACAGCAUCUUCUUAGUGGGAAGAUAAUAAGAAAAGAAGAAGUUUUAACAGACAACAGGAAGAUGAUAUGUAGCAGUUUAUGCUUUCAAAGUGCCAGUGGUGACUGAUUACAUUCUUAUGCUACAUCUGUAAUUUUUUUGAAGAGGGUGAUACUGUGUUAGUCCUAAUAUUCUUUAUGAAAGACUUUAAUCUUUUACAUCAAUCUCUGAAGGAUUGUUAUUAGCAUUCAAAGCAGAGGGAAAAAAAUGACUAGAGGUAAAAGCACAUGAUACCUGAUUCUUACUUGAGCUCUGACAGUGUAAUAAUCCCAAUACGGAGAGCAGGAGCAACAAAGGCAGGUUGUUUAACUUCGUUUACUUCUUGGAAGUAUUUUAUGAAGGAGGAAGAGCUAUGUGAUGCAUAGCCAAGAACAGAGGAAACUCUGUCAUGGCUAUGUAGGAAAUAAAGUGUAAAUCCUUUUAUGUUUGUGUGAUAUU